AUUGAACGCUGGCGGCAUGCUUUACACAUGCAAGUCGAACGGUAACAGGCCUUCGGGUGCUGACGAGUGGCGAACGGGUGAGUAAUGCAUCGGAACGUGUCCAGAGGUGGGGGAUAACGCAGCGAAAGCUGUGCUAAUACCGCAUGUGAUCUGAGGAUGAAAGCGGGGGACCAGGCAGCAAUGUUUGGCCUCGCGCCUUUGGAGCGGCCGAUGUCAGAUUAGGUAGUUGGUGGGGUAAAGGCCUACCAAGCCGACGAUCUGUAGCUGGUCUGAGAGGACGACCAGCCACACUGGGACUGAGACACGGCCCAGACUCCUACGGGAGGCAGCAGUGGGGAAUUUUGGACAAUGGGCGCAAGCCUGAUCCAGCAAUGCCGCGUGCGGGAAGAAGGCCUUCUGGUUGUAAACCGCUUUUGUACGGAACGAAAAGGCUCUGGCUAAUACCUGGGGCUGAUGACGGUACCGUAAGAAUAAGCACCGGCUAACUACGUG
Molecule: ribosomal RNA, 492 nt
Filed under: uncultured bacterium
Lineage: Bacteria
Description: partial 16S ribosomal RNA
Rfam family: Bacterial small subunit ribosomal RNA
Source: RNAcentral